RNAcentral lists this long non-coding RNA (490 nucleotides) under Cricetulus griseus (Chinese hamster). RNAcentral describes it as "lncRNA (ENSCGRG00015033334.1)". The record is from RNAcentral. Lineage: Eukaryota; Metazoa; Chordata; Mammalia; Rodentia; Cricetidae.
CGAGGAGUCCGCGGUAGUGAUGGAGCCCUGCUACCCUGCCAUCGCUCCGCGGAGCGUCGCGUGAAGCAUCCUUGUGUCUGCGAGAUCUUGCUGAGGGCCAGGUAUCCAUUCUUCUGCGGCAGCUGUAGAACCUACGGAGGCUAGAGGUCCGUGGGUGGUGGAGAAUCAUUUGCGUAGCAAAAAAAAAAGGAAGGCGAGCGCUCCUGCAUCCCUCCAGACGGCACCCAGACAGAGUUUCUCUGUGUAACAACCCUGGCUGUCCUGGAACUCUCUCUCUGUGGACCAGGCUAGCCUCAAACUACAGAGAUCUGCCUGCCUUCUGACCUAAGGCAUGCACCACCACACCGGGCUGAAGAAAAAUUUAAUAAAACAGUAUGCACUUCAAUACAUAAAUACUUGGAUAUGGCUUCACUAGAAGAAAUAAUGAAAUAAUCUUACACAAAAACACAUGCAUGUGACUUGUACAUGUGACAGCUACAUGUCUAUUUAG